UAGUACGGCGAGUGAAGAGGGAAGUAAGCCCAAGUAAUGUGAAAGCUUCGGCGUCUUCGGCGUCCGCAUUGUAAUCUCAAGUAAGUGUUUUCCGCUUCGGACCAAGCCUAAGUCCCCUGGAAAGGGGCAUCAUAGAGGGUGAUAAUCCCGUACAUGGCUUGGAGCGCCCGAGGCUUUGUGAUACGCUUUCUAAGAGUCGAGUUGCUUGGGAAUGCAGCUCAAAAUGGGUGGUAAAUGCCAUCUAAGGCUAAAUAUUGGGGAGAGACCGAUAGCGAACAAGUACAGUGAUGGAAAGAUGAAAAGAACUUUGAAAAGAGAGUUAAACAGUACGUGAAAUUGCCAAAAGGGAAGGGUAGGAGGUCAGAGAUGCGGCCUGGGAUUCAGCCUUGCUUUUGCUUGGUGUUUUUCCCAGAUUGCAGGCCAACGUCGGUUUUGGGCACUGGAGAAGGGUAGGAGGAACGUGGCACCUCUCGGGGUGUGUUAUAGCCUCCUACUGGAUACAGCGACCGAGACCGAGGACAGCAGCGUACUCGCAAGAGCGGGCCUUCGGGCACCUUUACGCUUAGGGCGUUGGCAUAAUGGCCCUCUACCACCCGUCUU
RNAcentral lists this ribosomal RNA (600 nucleotides) under uncultured Pseudozyma. RNAcentral's name for it is "eukaryotic LSU rRNA". It matches the Rfam family "Eukaryotic large subunit ribosomal RNA", at positions 81 to 655 of the family's 3401-position model. The record is from RNAcentral. Lineage: Eukaryota; Fungi; Basidiomycota; Ustilaginomycetes; Ustilaginales; Ustilaginaceae.